ACUAAAGAAGCUUGAAAUUCAUUGACAAUGAACCACAGCCAGAUCACAAUUCUCUUAUGAAGUUUUGACCAGGGCAACCUGAAAAAUUAGGUCUCGAUGUCUUAGAGUUGCAUCUGUCUCAGUGAGCGUGCAUCCUUCUAUCAUCGAACCAGAAAGAUUAGUCAUUUGUGAAAACCUUCAGCCCAGGUGACCUGCUUGAAGGAGAGCUGCAAUGCAAGUUAUCUCCCAGGGUGGGAACUGUGGACUGCAAAGUCACAGAAUCUGAAGUUGGCAACUGACUUGGCAGUUUUCCAGCAAGUGAUAUGUGCUCUUCAGUGUGGAAAUCAAUUUUGUUCGCAAAGAGUUAAAGUAAGGAUUCAACGAGAUAAUGUUUAUAAAUCACAAGUCAUAGCCCUUGGAGUAGAACAGCCUCCCAGUAAAUGCCAAAUUAUUAUAACGGUCAUCAUCAACAUCGACAAACUACUGUUGUCCGGCAACCUCACAAGAAUUCUUUGUGUGAGCUUGUACUUUGACCACUGUUUUGAACGCUUGAAUGCAUGCUUUAAGUCGAAUCCUUUGGCCUGAUUUCUUUAGCUGACUUUAAUUGCUUGGGCAAACUGCAACCAUUCGUGUUCGCAAUCUUUCAUUCAUACAACCUUUCAGAAGCAUCCAAGAAACUUAGAGACUCCUCUAAGGAUGAUUAUAAGACCAGUGUCAGAGGGCUAGAGAGAAAUCUUCGAAUGUGAUGAUCCUGUCUGUUUCUGUAGAGCAAAAACUGAUGAAGAGAAGUAGAAAAGAGCCUGGAGAAAGAAGCGCUGAGAGACAGUUGAAGCAUGCAGUAUUAUCUUUUGAUGUCCUGCAUACAUUUCAGCUCAUGCCACAAGUUUCCAGAGGAGAAUGCAAGGCUGACAGCCAGAGCUACACGGAUAGACAAGUUGCUUUGUCCAGGGAAGUCCCUCUGCCCACCCACGAGAGUCCUGGUGGAGGUGCAGCACUGUGCCUUUGCUAUCUUCUGGCCUCCCAAGCUCCUCCCUGCCUCACCCUGAUCAGACUCUGCUUGUACCAGAUGCUUCUUCAACCAUCCUUCCCCCUGGGCUGUUAAAACCCCAAGAGCGUGUGUGUGGAAGUGGGAUGUGUCUAAUUUUGUCUCUCUCCUCUGGGCCCAGUGCCUUGAGUGACUAAAUAGAAGGAACUUAUUUAAUACAAGCAAUAAAUAAAUGAACCA
Long non-coding RNA from Equus caballus (horse), 1204 nucleotides. NCBI's taxonomy places the organism in Eukaryota, Metazoa, Chordata, Mammalia, Perissodactyla, Equidae. The record is from Ensembl.